RNAcentral lists this ribosomal RNA (468 nucleotides) under uncultured bacterium. RNAcentral's name for it is "partial 16S ribosomal RNA". It matches the Rfam family "Bacterial small subunit ribosomal RNA", at positions 28 to 507 of the family's 1533-position model. The record is from RNAcentral.
GACGAACGCUGGCGGCGUGCUUAACACAUGCAAGUCGAACGGAAAGGCCCUGCUUUUGUGGGGUGCUCGAGUGGCGAACGGGUGAGUAACACGUGAGUAACCUGCCCUUGACUUUGGGAUAACUUCAGGAAACUGGGGCUAAUACCGGAUAGGAGCUCCUGCUGCAUGGUGGGGGUUGGAAAGUUUCGGCGGUUGGGGAUGGACUCGCGGCUUAUCAGCUUGUUGGUGUGGUAGUGGCUUACCAAGGCUUUGACGGGUAGCCGGCCUGAGAGGGUGACCGGCCACAUCGGGACUGAGAUACGGCCAAGACUCCUACGGGAGGCAGAAGUGGGGAAUAUUGCACAAUGGGCGGAAGCCUAAUCCAGCAACGCCGCGUGCGGGAUGACGGCCUUCGGGUUGUAAACCGCUUUCGCCUGUGACGAAGCGUGAGUGACGAUAAUGGGUAAAGAAGCACCGGCUAACUACGUG